AACCUGGUUUCUCAAGUUAAAGCACGGAACUCCCAGGACUUAAUCCUGAAUUUUGUUGUUGUGCUUUAACCCCUCAGGCCCCCCAGCCUGGACAUCAAACACGUGAUGGGAUUAUCUGACUUGAGGAAAAAACUGCCAGAAGCUGCAUUUGGGAAAAAAAAUUACACCGGGAACGAAGGUGAGCAGGAAAUCUUGGGAAUCAUCCUCAUUCCCAGUGCUCCCAGCAGUUCAGAAUCCAUGGGAAAUCACCCUCCCAAAAUCCUAAAUCCUUUCUUUUUUCCCCCAGUCUGCUUUCAGGGGGUUUACUCCAGUCUCUACGAGGUGGAAAUAUCCAAGAAGGAUCAAUCCCGAAUGGAUCAGCUGGUGGAAAAUCUGGUGGAGAAGGACUUGGCAAUCAUCAAAUAUCUGCAGGACCAAGGAGUUCUCAUCCUGCUCACCUCCUCAGCCUUGGCACGGGAGGACGGCCUGGAGCCCAAGGAGCCUGUCAGCCUGCUGGCCCUGUUCCUGUUCCGCUCGCCCCGGGCCCUGA
RNAcentral lists this long non-coding RNA (529 nucleotides) under Lonchura striata (white-rumped munia). Its description in RNAcentral is "domestica (Bengalese finch) lncRNA (ENSLSDG00000003099.1)". Lineage: Eukaryota; Metazoa; Chordata; Aves; Passeriformes; Estrildidae. The record is from RNAcentral.